This 29-nucleotide non-coding RNA is filed under the name Mus musculus (house mouse). Lineage: Eukaryota; Metazoa; Chordata; Mammalia; Rodentia; Muridae. The record is from RNAcentral.
AAGCAGGGAGAUAGGCCAGUAUGGUGUCA